RNAcentral lists this ribosomal RNA (257 nucleotides) under uncultured Leptotrichia sp. RNAcentral's name for it is "partial 16S ribosomal RNA". It matches the Rfam family "Bacterial small subunit ribosomal RNA", at positions 97 to 354 of the family's 1533-position model. Lineage: Bacteria; Fusobacteriati; Fusobacteriota; Fusobacteriia; Fusobacteriales; Leptotrichiaceae. The record is from RNAcentral.
GGCGGACGGGUGAGUAACGCGUAAGAACUUGCCCUUUAGACUGGGAUAACAGAGGGAAACUUCUGAUAAUACUGGAUAAGUUAGUAUAUCGCAUGAUAUGCAAAUGAAAGCUACGGCACUAAAGGAGAGCUUUGCGUCCUAUUAGCUAGUUGGUAAGGUAAGAGCUUACCAAGGCGAUGAUAGGUAGCCGGCCUGAGAGGGUGGACGGCCACAAGGGGACUGAGAUACGGCCCUUACUCCUACGGGAGGCAGCAGAG